RNAcentral lists this ribosomal RNA (305 nucleotides) under uncultured bacterium. RNAcentral's name for it is "bacterial SSU rRNA". It matches the Rfam family "Bacterial small subunit ribosomal RNA", at positions 337 to 658 of the family's 1533-position model. The record is from RNAcentral.
CCCUACGGGGGGCAGCAGUCGGGAAUAUUGCGCAAUGGAGGAAACUCUGACGCAGUGACGCCGCGUAUAGGAAGAAGGUUUUCGGAUUGUAAACUAUUGUCGAUAGGGAAGAAAAAAGACUGUACCUAUCAAGAAAGCUCCGGCUAACUACGUGCCAGCAGCCGCGGUAAUACGUAGGGGGCAAGCGUUAUCCGGAUUUACUGGGUGUAAAGGGAGCGUAGACGGCAUGGCAAGUCUGAAGUGAAAGCCCGGGGCUCAACCGCGGGACUGCUUUGGAAACUGUUAAGCUGGAGGGCAGGAGAGGG